This 279-nucleotide ribosomal RNA is filed under the name uncultured bacterium. RNAcentral's name for it is "partial 16S ribosomal RNA". It matches the Rfam family "Bacterial small subunit ribosomal RNA", at positions 506 to 784 of the family's 1533-position model. The record is from RNAcentral.
UGCCAGCCGCCGCGGUAAUACGGAGGGUGCAAGCGUUACUCGGAAUCACAGGGCGUAAAGAGCGUGUAGGCGGGUUAAUAAGUCAGAUGUGAAAGCCAAUAGCUCAACUAUUGAACUGCAUUUGAAACUGUAAACCUAGAAUAUGGGAGAGGUAGAUGGAAUUUCUGGUGUAGGAGUGAAAUCCGUAGAGAUCAGAAGGAACACCGGUGGCGAAGGCGACUUCCUGGACUAUUACUGACACUGAGGAGCGAAAGCGUGGGGAGCAAACAGGAUUAGAUA